UGAGCAAUUUUCCUUCAAAUUAAUGUCCAUACUGAACCAUUUAUUUGGGGUUUCCCCCAAAAAUUUUCCCUUUCUCCACAAAUUUUAAAUAAAUCGUUCAAAACGAUUAAUUCACAUUUUAACAUUUUUCAUAACUAUUUUCUGUAUAUAGCAGAAAAAUAUCGAAGAAACAUUUAAAUCCUUACUGAAGUUCUUGUAAAGUGUAACACUAUACAGUAUACAAACAUAUACAGUAUACAUACACAUUAUUCUGAUGUCUUUCCCGAAACCAUGUAUUGUCUACACACAGUUUCUGCAGAAAUACCAGUAUCAUUAUCAUUUAUAUCUUAAUUUUACAAUGUAGUCCUUUUAAAAUUGCAUUGUCUGCCACAGUAAAAAGGGCAAGCACAUUUUUAAGAAAGGGUACUUCCGAAAAUCAAAUGACGAAAUUAAAAAGAAGCAGACAUAGGAAAGAGAAGCAAAUGUACAAUGUAUUGUUAUAUUGCUUCGUCAAGAUCGUCAGCCAUUUCUGAUACCUUGGAAAUAUAGCGACGGCUUUCAGAUUUCGGAUUGAACUUUGCAACGAGACUUUUUUUUUUGUUGAACAGCACCGAACACGUGUGGCGCAGACGCACUAUCCUUUACAGCUCGGUAAUUCAAGUUUUUCCCAGUUUCUAUUCAGUUCAUUUGGUAAGAGCCUUCGUCAGUCUGUAAAUAUUUUCCAUGGUCAAUUAAUCUUAAUAUAAACAAUAUAGAAUCCCGGACUAUUAAAUUCCCGUUAUUCACAUAGGGAAAGAGAAAUUUCUUAAUUUUGCGGAAUAUCGGUAGAUAUUGCGUAACAAAAUAAAACCUGAUUAAUUUUGUAUAAUUUUUUCAAAUAAUUUAACAAACUUGCGCUGCGGGUAUGUCUCUAAAAUCUAAAUCUGGAUCUCGGAAUGUUCCCGAGGUCACGAUGUUCAUACGGGCGAACAGACGGACAUGGCCAG
This is a long non-coding RNA of Drosophila erecta, 965 nucleotides long. RefSeq lists it as uncharacterized. The transcript is spliced from 4 exons. NCBI's taxonomy places the organism in Eukaryota, Metazoa, Arthropoda, Insecta, Diptera, Drosophilidae. The record is from RefSeq and is a predicted model, not a curated record.